This 402-nucleotide ribosomal RNA is filed under the name uncultured prokaryote. RNAcentral's name for it is "bacterial SSU rRNA". It matches the Rfam family "Bacterial small subunit ribosomal RNA", at positions 355 to 774 of the family's 1533-position model. The record is from RNAcentral.
UGAGGAAUCUUGCGCAAUGGGGGAAACCCUGAUGCAGCAACGCCGCGUGAAUGAUGAAGGCCUUCGGGUCGUAAAGUUCUUUGAUUGGGGACGAUAAUGACGGUACCCAAAAAACAAGCCACGGCUAACUACGUGCCAGCAGCCUCGGUAAUACGUAGGUGGCGAGCGUUGUCCGGAUUUACUGGGCGUAAAGGAUGCGUAGGUGGAAACUUAAGUGGGAUGUGAAAUCCCCGGGCUCAACCCGGGAACUGCAUUCCAAACUGGGUAUCUAGAGUGCAGGAGAGGAAAGCGGAAUUCCUAGUGUAGCGGUGAAAUGCGUAGAUAUUAGGAAGAACACCAGUGGCGAAGGCGGCUUUCUGGACUGUGACUGACACUGAGGCAUGAAAGCGUGGGGAGCAAACA